This 253-nucleotide ribosomal RNA is filed under the name uncultured bacterium. Its description in RNAcentral is "partial 16S ribosomal RNA". It matches the Rfam family "Bacterial small subunit ribosomal RNA", at positions 524 to 776 of the family's 1533-position model. The record is from RNAcentral.
UACAGAGGGUGCAAGCGUUGUCCGGAAUCACUGGGCGUAAAGGGCGCGUAGGCGGCCUUGUAAGUCCUGUGUGAAAUCCCCCGGCUCAACUGGGGAACUGCACAGGAGACUGCUUGGCUUGAGUUCGGGAGAGGGAAGCGGAAUUCCGGGUGUAGCGGUGAAAUGCGUAGAGAUGUGGAGGAACACCAGUGGCGAAGGCGGCUUUUUGGUCUGUAACUGACGCUGAGGCGCGAAAGCGUGGGGAGCAAACAGG